RNAcentral lists this ribosomal RNA (2220 nucleotides) under Triticum aestivum (bread wheat). RNAcentral's name for it is "partial small subunit ribosomal RNA". The record is from RNAcentral. Lineage: Eukaryota; Viridiplantae; Streptophyta; Magnoliopsida; Poales; Poaceae.
AUGCAGAAUCACAGACCCAAACGAAGAUCAAACCCUAGGAACCGCCCAUCGCCAGAGAGUCGCAGGAGCCCUAGGAGAGAGAACACGCAACGGUCGCACUUGCCAGAUGGCUGGUUUGUGUACAACCGGGAUUCGGGGGGCCUAAGAAAGUGCAUGCGGGAAAUAACGGCGCAAGCGCCCGGCGACAGGAGAGGCAUCGAUGCCAACGGAAAUCCUGGGAUCGACCAGGAAUCGAGCGAAACUGCGGGGAAAGAGACCCUGGCGCAUGGGCUAAGAGCCCGCGUUGUAGAUGCCCUCAUUCGCCAAUCUUUCUCCCCUCGCCGACGCCGCCUCCAGUCAGAUCCGGACGGAUGUGCUGCUGGGUGGCCGGUUUCUAGGAUAUGUAUCUGUGGUGAUGUGGGUGUUGCAACCUCAUCAAGCGAUGGAACCGUGAGAUUCUGGACGCAGCACCCGGAAAAGAAGUGCGAAUAUGUCCUCUCGAAAACCCUUGCAGGACAUUUUAGUUUUGUUGGUGCAAUGGUUUGGGCCCCUCCUUCUGAUCGCUUUCCGGAAGGAGCAAUUGUUUCUGGUGGCAUGGAUACACUAGUAUUGCUGUGGAAUUUGCAUACAGGAGAAGUUGUUGGAACAAUGAAGGGUCACACCUCACAGGUUCAAGUGAUUCCACCAUCAAACUUUGGAAAGGAAGGAUUUGUCUACAUACAUUCUCUGGGCAUGCAGAUGCCAGGAAUGGGUAUACUCUCUGCAUCACAUGAUGGAACUAUAAAGUUAUGGGCAUUAACUGGCCAACCCCUGUUGGAGAUGAUUGGCCAUACCUCUCUUGUAUAUUCUGUGGAUGCUCAUUCAUCUGGUCUUAUUGCUAGUGGCAGUCGAGAUCGCUCGGUCAAGAUAUGGAAAGAUGGAAUCUGUGUUCAGAGCAUUGAACACCCAGGCCGUAUAUGGGAUGCUAAAUUUUUGGAUAAUGGCGAUGUUGUAACUGCAUGUUGUGAUGGAAUUGUGAGGAUAUGGACAACUGGCAAUAAUAGGCCCUGCCGUGAUGAGGAACUUGCAGCAUAUAGAAAGACUGUUGGUGGACUGAAGCUGAUGGAUCCAUCAGGAGCUGCGGGAAUGACACAACAAGGUCAUAAAUCUCAUUUUUCUGAUGCGGUACACGUGUAUUGUGUUGAUUCCAUGAUGCUCCAACUAUUUGUAGUGAAUUUUGCAGGAAUCGUUGCACAAACGCUAAUUGUUAGAGAGGGACACACCGGUGUUGCUUAUUCAUGGAAUUCAAAAGAGCUAAAAUGGGACAAAGGCUAUCCUCCAACCACUGUGAGUAAAAAUCAGUACCCUACCUCUUGGAGGGCCGCGCAGCCCUGCGACAGCAUCCCAGAGGAUAUCAUCAUCUGGGAGAUAAUCCCCCGCCUGCCAGCGAAGGCCUUUGCCCGCUGCCGCGCCAUCUGCCGCUUGUGGCGCCAUGUCCUCACCUCCAACAGUGACCUCCUCCUCAAGCACCACUGCGCCCAGCCCUCCCACCCCAUUGCCUCUUGCAUGGAGCGCUCCGACCGCAUGCUCUACGAUCUCUGCGCCUUCGACCCGUGGGCCAGCGUGCUCUCACCCUUUUUUGCUCAGCUCUGGGACCCCUGCCUCAUGAGGUGCAUCGGCCGGCCAGCGGCGUCGGCGUCCGAAGAUGACGCACUGGCGGAGGGCAGUGUCAAUACAACAUCCUACCGCCCGUCGGUCCUGUUCCAGGAAGACCUGCACUUCUACCCUGUGAAGAAACAUGGCAGCAACAUGCUGAUGGUAUUCAAUACCACUGCCGAGUCAUUCCGUUGGAUGUCUGCUCCGGCUACCCCUGAGUCGGCCACUUUGUUUGAGAUGGAUGGCAAGCUCGUCCUCUACUACAUCGAUGAGGACAUCACCAUGAUUGAUAUUUGUGUGCUACAGGACUAUGAUAAUGAGGUCUGGGAGUUCAAGUACAAGAUCAAGCUUCCAGUGGCAGACCUUCGUCUGUCAGCUCGAUCACGUGGUUAUAUAUCGCCGGUCUUGUAUGAGAAGGGUGGUGUGCUCAUCUCAAUGCAUAGCCGUCUUGUUCAAGUUGACACUCUGGGAAGUGUGAGGUCAGAUAUUAUAUGGAGUGGCUCGAAUCUGUCGAUUACGCCGUAUAAGCUCAAACAAAGCCUGGUUCGUCACACAUUCUUUCCGAGUCAACCUGGUGGCGCUUCCUCAGGGGGACCUUUCAUCUGA